RNAcentral lists this ribosomal RNA (344 nucleotides) under uncultured soil bacterium. RNAcentral describes it as "bacterial SSU rRNA". It matches the Rfam family "Bacterial small subunit ribosomal RNA", at positions 26 to 361 of the family's 1533-position model. The record is from RNAcentral.
AGAGUGAACGCUGGCGGUAGGCCUAACACAUGCAAGUCGAACGGCAGCACAGUAGGAGCUUGCUCUUACGGGUGGCGAGUGGCGGACGGGUGAGGAAUACAUCGGAAUCUACCUUUUGGUGGGGGAUAACGUAGGGAAACUUACGCUAAUACCGCAUACGCCCUUCGGGGGAAAGCCGGGGACCAGCAAUGGCCUGGCGCUGAUAGAUGAGCCUAGGUCGGAUUAGCUAGUUGGUGAGGUAAUGGCUCACCAAGGCGACGAUCCCGUAACUGGGUCUGAGAGGAUGAUCAGUCACACUGGAACUGAGACACGGUCCAGACUCCUACGGGAGCAGCAGUGGGGAA